Non-coding RNA from Thamnophis sirtalis, 1095 nucleotides. The record is from RefSeq and is a predicted model, not a curated record. Lineage: Eukaryota; Metazoa; Chordata; Lepidosauria; Squamata; Natricidae.
CCCCGCCCCCCCUUAUCUGUUAUUCUGUAUACUUUAAAUCUGCAUUCCAGCUGUUGGUAGCAAAAGAAAAUGGGAGAGGGAAAACUGCAAAGCUACUUGUCUAUGGAGAUUCUCAGUCAUCCAGGUCAUGGUUGUCCCAAAGGUUCUUUUUCCAGAGGUUUAUCUGUGUUGUCAAGGUCAUCUGAGUAGCGCAAACGGGUGUGGAGCCUUCUUGGAAUUGUUGACUGUGUUGUAGACUGGAGUUAGAUGAUGUCAUAGUUUUCCCCCUGUUGAGAAAGGGCUGUUCAAUUUUGACAUAGAGGGCCUCUUUGACCUGUCUUUCAAACAAGCCAGUCCUCUCUGUCCAAAAUUUGGACUUUGUUGUCUUCAAAAGAAUGGCCUCUGUCUUUUAAAUACAGAUGGACUGCUGAAUCUAGUCCUGAUGGCUUUGUAUGUUGGGUCAAAUAACAAAGCUACUUCUCCAAAGAUUAUUGGCAAACUGCAAGGGAGUAUAGAAAUUGCAGGAAGUGGCUCCUUCCAAUGGGAAACUGCCCAUUGUAAAACUCUUGUGUUCCCGCUUUUCUUUGGGGCAGUUACUGAAUUGAAUUGAUUUGAGUCAACUUGAAAAGACUCCAUAAAUCCAAUUGCAUCAUAGAGAUCCAGAAAUGUAGCACUGCUUGCAGAUUAUUUGUUGUGGAAGGGGGUUGUGUACCUUAAUGAUUAAGUGGCUAUAAGAGGGACAGUAACAGCUGUGAGAAAAUGUGGUAGGCCAGCACAGGUUGGCAUGUCCUAUUGCUGGCUGAACAGUACUGAAUUUAGGCCUUACUAACACCUGUGUUUCACACCUGACAGUAUGAAUUCAAAGCCAAAAGUAUAAAGAAGAAGAAAGUGAAUCUGUUGGUAUCUGUAGAUGGGGUGAAAGUGGUACUGAAGAAGAAGAAGAAGAAGAAAGAGUGGGACUGGGAUGACAGCAAGCUACUGGUGAUGCAUGACCCAAUCUACAGGAUAUUUUAUGUGUCCCACGAUUCCCAAGACCUGAAGAUCUUCAGUUAUAUUGCAAGAGAUGGCUCCAGUAACAUCUUCCGCUGUAAUGUUUUCAAGUCCAAGAAAAAGGUA